UACGGGGGGGGCAAGCGUUGUUCGGAAUUACUGGGCGUAAAGGGCUCGUAGGCGGCCAACUAAGUCAGACGUGAAAUCCCAGGCUCAACCUGGGAACUGCGUCUGAUACUGGAUGGCUUGAAUCCGGGAGAGGGAUGCAGAAUUCCAGGUGUAGCGGUGAAAUGCGUAGAUAUCUGGAGGAAUACCGGUGGCGAAGGCGGCAUCCUGGACCGGCAUUGACGCUGAGGAGCGAAAGCCAGGGGAGCAAACGGG
Molecule: ribosomal RNA, 252 nt
Filed under: uncultured bacterium
Lineage: Bacteria
Description: partial 16S ribosomal RNA
Rfam family: Bacterial small subunit ribosomal RNA
Source: RNAcentral